CGCCUUAUAAUUUUGUUACCCAUAUAAAAGCUUAUAAUUUUUUUUCAAUCAGAUCGAACCUAUGCUUAUUUUUUUCAAUCAGAUCCGGAAGCCCUAAAACCCUAUAAUUUUGGCAACGAAGAGGAGCUCCAAAAUGGAUCAACCAAUCAAUCAAUUCAAUAAUCACAAAUUAAUGCAGAAGAAGAAAUCGAAGAACUUGAUAGUUUGUUUGAUUACACUCGUAGUUGUUUAGAAAUCAUUCCCCUCGAUGACGAAAAUCCAUUGAUUCAAUCAGAUCCUAAAAGUAUGUAUCGAACUCUACAAGUGGCAAAAUCAAGGCGACUAUGAACAACAAUCAAGGCAACAGCCAAGUGAAUAUUGAAAUCUGUUCUCAAAAGUGAUGGCAGCAGAACUAGUACGUGUUGUAAAAAGUGAAAAUAAGGGUGAGCCUGAAAGGCUGAGGAGGAACGAUUGCCAUUGUGUGCCAAAACAUCAAGAAAGAGGUGACAAAUCCAAUGGGCAUGACAGUUUGGGCAACAAGUUAAGAUGGGUAUAUCACAAAACGUGCAACUUUUAAAUGUGGUUGAAUAUGGAUUGGUUUAGGGUGAACUGACCAGCCACCAUAUUUUUGUCCACUUUUAUGGAAAUAAAUGUGGGUGAAAACGGAUUGGCCCUUUAUCAAUAUAAAUACAAUCCAAAUGAACCCAUUUCAAUAUAAAUGAGUUUGAAAUUGCCUCUUUAAUGCAUUGGGAGUUCACUGAACAAUUGAAUUUUGUGCGCAUACAUUCUUUCAAGAUCAGUUGGUUAUUCAACAGCUGCGUUUGCUCUUGCUGUUCUGGAGGGCAGCACACAAGCAGGUGUAUGGUUUCCAGAAGAGGUGGCUAGCAACUCGUCCCAAAAUGUCGAACUAGAGCUGCACGGAUGACUCGGGUAGUCUUGUUGUAUACCCAGUGGUCGAUGUGGAAGUUGUCAAACUAACUUGUGAAUUAGUAUCGAUAUGUAACUUUUGUCGUUAAUUAACUUGUGACUUAUCGUGAAUUAGUACUUGAAUUAACCUCGUUGUUUAUAUAUAUAUAUAUAUGAAAUGUGUUAUUUUGAUA
Molecule: long non-coding RNA, 1079 nt
Organism: Erigeron canadensis
Lineage: Eukaryota; Viridiplantae; Streptophyta; Magnoliopsida; Asterales; Asteraceae
Exons: 6
Source: RefSeq, a predicted model, not a curated record